This is a small nuclear RNA of Bison bison bison, 108 nucleotides long. NCBI's taxonomy places the organism in Eukaryota, Metazoa, Chordata, Mammalia, Artiodactyla, Bovidae. The record is from Ensembl.
ACUCUCCUGGCGUCAGCAGUACAUACUAAAAUUCAAAUAAUAUGGGGAAAGUUAGUAUGGCCCCUCAGCAAGGAGAACACACAAAUUCACAAAGCAUUCCAUGUUUUA